Molecule: ribosomal RNA, 528 nt
Filed under: Pezizomycotina sp.
Lineage: Eukaryota; Fungi; Ascomycota
Description: SSU rRNA
Rfam family: Eukaryotic small subunit ribosomal RNA
Source: RNAcentral
GUCUCAAAGAUUAAGCCAUGCAAGUCUAAGUAUAAGCAACUAUACUGUGAAACUGCGAACGGCUCAUUAAAUCAGUUAUCGUUUAUUUGAUAGUACCUUACUACAUGGAUAACCGUGGUAAUUCUAGAGCUAAUACAUGCUAAAAGCCCCGACUUCGGGAGGGGUGUAUUUAUUAGAUAAAAAGCCAAUGCCCUCCGGGGCUCCUUGGUGAUUCAUGAUAACUUGACGGAUCGCAUGGCCUUGCGCCGGCGAUGGUUCAUUCAAAUUUCUGCCCUAUCAACUUUCGAUGGUAGGAUCGGGGCCUACCAUGGUAUCAACGGGUAACGGGGAAUUAGGGUUCGAUUCCGGAGAAGGAGCCUGAGAAACGGCUACUACAUCCAAGGAAGGCAGCAGGCGCGCAAAUUACCCAAUCCCGACACGGGGAGGUAGUGACAAUAAAUACUGAUACAGGGCUCUUUUGGGUCUUGUAAUUGGAAUGAGUACAAUUUAAACCUCUUAACGAGGAACAAUUGGAGGGCAAGUCUGGUG